Molecule: ribosomal RNA, 427 nt
Filed under: uncultured bacterium
Lineage: Bacteria
Description: partial 16S ribosomal RNA
Rfam family: Bacterial small subunit ribosomal RNA
Source: RNAcentral
UGGGGAAUAUUGCACAAUGGGCGCAAGCCUGAUGCAGCCAUGCCGCGUGUAUGAAGAAGGCCUUCGGGUUGUAAAGUACUUUCAGCGAGGAGGAAGGCGGUAAGGUUAAUAACCUUAUCGAUUGACGUUACUCGCAGAAGAAGCACCGGCUAACUCCGUGCCAGCAGCCGCGGUAAUACGGAGGGUGCAAGCGUUAAUCGGAAUUACUGGGCGUAAAGCGCACGCAGGCGGUUUGUCACGUCGGAUGUGAAAUCCCCGGGCUCAACCUGGGAACUGCAUUCGAAACUGGCAGGCUAGAGUCUUGUAGAGGGGGGUAGAAUUCCAGGUGUAGCGGUGAAAUGCGUAGAGAUCUGGAGGAAUACCGGUGGCGAAGGCGGCCCCCUGGACAAAGACUGACGCUCAGGUGCGAAAGCGUGGGGAGCAAACA